UCCUGCAAUUUUGUCCCCAUCUGAUCAUACCAGACUUGCUGCUCACACACCUAAGAUGGCUCCCAUGUCACAAUUGCCUCCAAAAUUGUCACCGUUGCAUCAUGUGUCCUAUGCUUCAAGUUCAGCAGGCCAGUUGUCUCCAUCGAUUCCUCCGCCUUCAUUGGCAGGAUCCAUGUCAUCUCUGGCUAUUGGUACCUUCUACAAGGAGAUAUUGUUACUGGAAGUUUCUGCACUGUUGAUCUUCUAUCUCUUCUGUCUGCCAUAUUGGUAGUUCAUUUUCUUGUAGUACCCCAAAAUAAAAAUAAAAAAAGAAAAGGAAAUAUUUUGCAGCGUAUGGAAGGGAGCUGAUUCUGGUAUCCAAAUUUUGUUCCUGUAAGGAUGGUAGAAGCUUCUUCGGAAAAAAGUAGUCUUUUUUUCUCUUUCCCUCAGAUAUGAAACAUAUAUGUAAAGACCCAGAAGAUCAAGCAGCUGGUCAAAGCCAGAAAGGUGGCAGGCCUCUCGCCUUACUUUGACUUGUGAUCUUAAAAAAAAAAAAGAAGAAAAGAUUGGAUGUGCUUCCCAAAGGGAACAAACUCCUAGGUGUGACUAGUGUAGUCAAGAAAACAAACAUUGACUCUUACAUGUGUAAAGGAGAACUUUCCCUUGUAUUUGAAUCAAGUGUAAAAAAUGCACGUUCUUUUUGAGCCCUCUGCAUUGAGUGCAAAGUGUUGUAAUUGAAAGAUUGGAACAGCUAGUCUUACAGUUACAUAAUAAUAAUACCCAUGGAAAGAGAGAAUAUAGCUUCAACAAUUUCAGA
Molecule: non-coding RNA, 796 nt
Organism: Carica papaya (papaya)
Lineage: Eukaryota; Viridiplantae; Streptophyta; Magnoliopsida; Brassicales; Caricaceae
Source: RefSeq, a predicted model, not a curated record